This 465-nucleotide ribosomal RNA is filed under the name Vreelandella stevensii. Its description in RNAcentral is "partial 16S ribosomal RNA". It matches the Rfam family "Bacterial small subunit ribosomal RNA", at positions 338 to 795 of the family's 1533-position model. The record is from RNAcentral. Lineage: Bacteria; Pseudomonadati; Pseudomonadota; Gammaproteobacteria; Oceanospirillales; Halomonadaceae.
CCUACGGGUGGCAGCAGUGGGGAAUAUUGGACAAUGGGCGAAAGCCUGAUCCAGCCAUGCCGCGUGUGUGAAGAAGGCCUUCGGGUUGUAAAGCACUUUCAGUGGGGAAGAAAGCCUUGGGGCUAAUACCCUCGAGGAAGGACAUCACCCACAGAAGAAGCACCGGCUAACUCCAUGCCAGCAGCCGCGGUAAUACGGAGGGUGCGAGCGUUAAUCGGAAUUACUGGGCGUAAAGCGCGCGUAGGCGGUCUGAUAAGCCGGUUGUGAAAGCCCCGGGCUCAACCUGGGAACGGCAUCCGGAACUGUCAGGCUAGAGUGCAGGAGAGGAAGGUAGAAUUCCCGGUGUAGCGGUGAAAUGCGUAGAGAUCGGGAGGAAUACCAGUGGCGAAGGCGGCCUUCUGGACUGACACUGACGCUGAGGUGCGAAAGCGUGGGUAGCAAACAGGAUUAGAUACCCGAGUAGUC